RNAcentral lists this unclassified non-coding RNA (324 nucleotides) under plant metagenome. Its description in RNAcentral is "partial contains 5.8S ribosomal RNA, internal transcribed spacer 2, and large subunit ribosomal RNA". The stretch from base 1 to 105 matches the Rfam family "5.8S ribosomal RNA", at positions 50 to 154 of the family's 154-position model. The record is from RNAcentral.
GAAAUGCGAUAAGUAAUGUGAAUUGCAGAAUUCCGUGAAUCAUCGAAUCUUUGAACGCACAUUGCGCCCUCUGGUAUUCCGGGGGGCAUGCCUGUCCGAGCGUCAUUGCACACCCUCAAGCGCGGCUUGUGUGUUGGGCCCCCGCGUCCUUGCCAUUUAAAGGACGGGCCCGAAAGGCAGUGGCGGCGUCGCGGUUAUCCGAUCAGCCAGAGCGUAUGGGGACUCUGUUCACACGUUCGGGGCGCGGUCCGACGCCAGUCCGUUUAACAAUCUUUCUUCCAAGGUUGACCUCGGAUCAGGUAGGGAUACCCGCUGAACUUAAGC